RNAcentral lists this ribosomal RNA (253 nucleotides) under uncultured bacterium. RNAcentral describes it as "partial 16S ribosomal RNA". It matches the Rfam family "Bacterial small subunit ribosomal RNA", at positions 524 to 776 of the family's 1533-position model. The record is from RNAcentral.
UACGGAGGGUGCAAGCGUUAAUCGGAAUUACUGGGCGUAAAGGGUGCGUAGGUUGUCUGGUAAGUUAGCUGUGAAAUUCCUGGGCUCAACCUGGGACUGUCAGCUAAGACUGCGAGACUAGAGUAUAGGAGAGGGUAGUGGAAUUUCCGGUGUAGCGGUGAAAUGCGUAGAGAUCGGAAGGAACACCAGUGGCGAAGGCGGCUACCUGGCCUAAUACUGACACUGAGGCACGAAAGCGUGGGGAGCAAACAGG